GAUGAACGCUGGCGGCGUGCCUAAUACAUGCAAGUCGAGCGAACAGACGAGGAGCUUGCUCCUCUGACGUUAGCGGCGGACGGGUGAGUAACACGUGGAUAACCUACCUAUAAGACUGGGAUAACUUCGGGAAACCGGAGCUAAUACCGGAUAAUAUAUUGAACCGCAUGGUUCAAUAGUGAAAGACGGUUUUGCUGUCACUUAUAGAUGGAUCCGCGCCGCAUUAGCUAGUUGGUAAGGUAACGGCUUACCAAGGCGACGAUGCGUAGCCGACCUGAGAGGGGUUUGGGCCCCCCGGCACCUGAGCACCGUCCCAGCCUCCGAGGGGGGGCGGCAGUGGGGAUUCUUCCCAAAGGGGCGAAAGCCUGCGGAGGCAACCCCGCGGGGGUGAGAAAGGUUUUGGACUCGUAAAACUUUUUUUUUGGGGAAGAAAAAAUGUUUAAGAAACUAUGCCGUUUUGGCGGGUCCCUAUACGAAACCCCCGGGCUACCUCCGU
This 496-nucleotide ribosomal RNA is filed under the name uncultured bacterium. RNAcentral's name for it is "partial 16S ribosomal RNA". It matches the Rfam family "Bacterial small subunit ribosomal RNA", at positions 28 to 506 of the family's 1533-position model. The record is from RNAcentral.